GAUGUUUUUAGUUUGUCAGUCAGUCUGUUCAGGACACUUGCCGAAAUCAAUCGCUUUUAGCCAGCAAGUCUGAAGUAACGUGUGAAAUUACUGAUAAAAUGUCGAAAACUAAGGUCUGCAUCGUCGGCAGUGGCAACUGGGGAUCAGCGAUCGCCAAGAUUGUCGGUGCUAAUGCAAAACGCUUACCUCAAUUCGAAGAUCGGGUAACGAUGUACGUGUAUGAGGAAAUGAUCGAUGGCAAGAAAUUGACCGAAAUCAUUAAUGAAACUCACGAGAAUGUCAAGUACUUGAAGGGGCACAAGUUGCCCGAGAAUGUGGUUGCAGUUCCAGAUGUUGGUGAUGCCGCAGACGGAGCUGAUAUCCUCAUUUUCGUAGUGCCACACGCUUUCAUCAAAGGAUUGAGCACUAGUCUUAAAGGCCGCAUGAAGCCAACUGCUGUCGGCCUUUCUUUAAUUAAAGGUUUUGACAAAGCCGAAGGAGGCGGUAUCGCUCUAAUUUCUCAUUUAAUUACUCAACAUUUGGGAAUACCUUGCAAUGUCCUGAUGGGCGCAAAUUUGGCAAACGAAGUAGCGGAGGAACAUUUCUGCGAGACUACAAUUGGAUUACGUGACAUGAAAAUGGCUGGAAUUUUCCGUGACCUCUUCCAAACACCGAAUUUCCGUGUUGUGAUUGUCGAUGAUGUGGACACUGUCGAAAUUUGCGGAGCGUUAAAGAACAUUGUUGCCUGCGGUGCUGGCUUUGUCGAUGGCAUGAAACUCGGAGAUAAUACAAAAGCAGCUGUGAUUCGUCUAGGUCUCAUGGAGAUGAUUAAAUUUGUCGAUGUUUUUUAUCCUGGCAGCAAACUCUCGACAUUUUUUGAAAGUUGUGGUGUUGCAGAUCUUAUUACAACAUGUUAUGGUGGACGCAAUCGAAAGGUUUCAGAAGCUUUUGUCACUUCUGGAAAAACUAUCAAAGAGUUAGAGACAGAAAUGUUGAAUGGCAUGAAAUUGCAAGGUCCCGAGACUGCAGAGGAAGUUAACUAUAUGUUGAAAAAUAAGAACAUGGAAGACAAAUUCCCGCUUUUUACGGCGAUUCACAAAAUUUGUACAAGUGUUAUCAAGCCGACCGAGCUUAUUGAAUGCAUUCGUAAUCAUCCAGAACACAUGUAAUAAAAAUACUGUUCUCAUUUAGUCGUAAUGUUGUCUUCAUAAAAAUUCGCAAUUGUUACUUAAACGUUAAACUUUCUACACGCCCUUUAUAAGAAAAAGUUAUCACUUGCACCGAUUCCUCCAAAUAUAUAAAAAAUAUUGUAAGUAAUUAACAACAAGAAAACUAAAAGACCGAGUGGAAGUACAUUCAGAGUCGAUCAUUAACAAUAUGUGUAAAGUUUUAUUUUAAUAUAAAAAGAAAAUAUUUUGUGAAUAAAUGAAAACAAAACAUCUACUCCUCUGUUUAUUCAUAUUGUACAUUCGUCCAUAAUAUUACCAUAAAUGUUUGACUGCAAAAAUUCUAAGACAUCAAAGGACGUAAUAGGAAUCCGUAUCAUUUUUGGGAUUCGUUAGUUUCUUAACAAGAAAAAUAUAUCAAUAAAUAUUUCUUUCAAUUAACGUU
Culicoides brevitarsis is the source of this 1590-nucleotide RNA transcript. It is a transcript of the gene named glycerol-3-phosphate dehydrogenase [NAD(+)], cytoplasmic, with no coding region annotated. Lineage: Eukaryota; Metazoa; Arthropoda; Insecta; Diptera; Ceratopogonidae. The transcript has 6 exons. The record is from RefSeq and is a predicted model, not a curated record.